Molecule: ribosomal RNA, 253 nt
Filed under: uncultured bacterium
Lineage: Bacteria
Description: partial 16S ribosomal RNA
Rfam family: Bacterial small subunit ribosomal RNA
Source: RNAcentral
GACGAACCGUACGAACGUUAUUCGGAAUCACUGGGCUUAAAGGGUGCGUAGGCGGCGCGACAAGUUGGGUGUGAAAUCCCUCGGCUCAACCGAGGAACUGCGCCCAAAACUGUCGUGCUCGAGGGAGACAGAGGUGAGCGGAACUUAGGGUGGAGCGGUGAAAUGCGUUGAUAUCCGGAGGAACACCGACGGCGUAGGCAGCGCCCUAGACGAGACCUGACGCUCAGGCACGAAAGCGCGGGGAGCGAACAGG